AACGCGCCUUCAAGAUAGAUCCCACAUAUUUAGUUCUAUCUCUGUGCAAGUGUCGGUGCUUCCCCGUCCCUUCGCCGUUGUCAUCACUCACUCGACCUCGGUGAUUCUCGUCAGCUUUUCUUCCUUUUGCUUUGCUAGACCUCAGCGUGAGUGUGCGUAGCAUCGCUGGUUGACAUCCUUGUUCUCCGCUCCCUCUUCCUUCAACUAAUCAACACGCACACUCGCAUAGCGACUUUGCUUCUGGAACGACCGCCGUCGCACACCCUCUGCCCCCCCCCCCCCCACACACACACACACGGACAUUGUGCUCCUAUGCCUCCACACACUGCGACAAGGAACUGAUCUUUUUUUUUCUGGGACUCAUAAUCACUGUCUCUCUCACGGAUUCGCCUGCGACGGGCGCACCUCUUCCUCCUUCAGCGCGGCACUUUCGACGCCUUUUUCUUUGUCGCUCAUCUUCUGUGUCUUGCUUCGUAGUAGGCAGGCUACAGCGGCCGCUUCGGAAUGGCCGCCGGCAACUCCAUCUCUGUAAAGGUGGAUGUGCCGUCCCAGGUGAAGGGCCAGGGCACUCUGGAGAUGUCGUACUACAUCUACCCCAUCACGAUGCGCUUGCCUGGCUUUAUGAGCGAUGCUCGGUUCAACCGGCGGUACACCGACUUUGAGACUCUGCGCGGCCAGCUGUGUGCGACCUACUGGUACUGCAUUGUGCCACCCAUUCCAGAGAAGGAGUCGGUGCAGGAUAAGCUGGGAAAGCUGCCACGCAUGGUGGCGUCGGCGAAGGAGACGACCGCCUCCGAGGGCGACCUGCUCGAGUACCGUCGUAUCAGCCUGCGGCGCUUCCUGCAGCGGCUUGCCUACCACCCCAUCCUGGGCAAGUCUGACCUUCUACAGAAGUUCACGAACGAUAACGAGUGGCGCCAGUGCACUCGCGACCCGGUGAAGCCGCCUCGCUUUAUCGUGUCGUCGUCGCUGGAGGAGAUCGCCAGAUCAUGGGCUCCGUCAAGCAGUGCCUCUGGCGCCGGUACUCAAGGUAGCGGUGGCGCUGCCGGGGGUGGUGGCGUUAGCCAAACCGGAGCGGCGUAUCAGUUGGCACUGACUCAAGAGCCAGUGGAUGAGGCGACGUGGAGGGCGACAAGCGAGUACAUUGGUGAGCUGGAGUCUAACCUCAAGAGCAUGCGCAACCUGCUGGAGGCACUCGUGGAUCGUCACCGGCGCGCCGCCUCCGCCGUGAGCAACUUCGCCGCCUCUUUUGGGCUGCUUGCGGAAGGCGAAGAGGAUGCCGAGCUGCGCGGCGCCAUCGAAGGGGUGCGCGACUGCGGUCGCAAAGUGGCAGAUGUCUACAGCAAACACGCUGACAACGAGUCGACGCGGCUUGUCAGCACGUUAAGCUUUUACGUGGGUAUGUGUGCCGCCGUGCGGGAGACUCUGAGCCACAUGUUCAGCGCCCGCCAGUAUCUGCGCAACUUGCAGAAGAAGGGCCAGGAACUGCAGGCGUCGGCGAUGCGGGCACAGUCGGCCAACCAGGUGCAGCUGCAGAGCGAGCUGCACUUCGUGAAUGAGCAGCGGGCCCACCUCGAGGAAGACCUCAUGGGCGCCGAGAAGACCUUCAGCGAGGAAUUUAUUCUCUUCCACGAAAACAAGCAAUAUGACGCCAAGGAUAUGCUGAAGAAGUUUGGCAUGCUGGAGCUCAGCUUCUCUGAGUCGAUGAAGCAGGAGUGGGACGCCCUGCGGCCAAUGUUGGAGUCCCUUGGCACAUAGGUCUGACGAGAGAAGGCGAGCCGGCGGAGACCCCUCCUAUCUUUCUGCUGAAAUAUAUAUUAUUAUUAUUCACGUUUCUCCCGUCAACAUGGUCGCUAUGGAGCCGUGGUCGUCCAUUCAUCUCUCCUCUUCGCGGCACUCCUAGCGCCAUGACGGUAGGGGUGAGGGGGACGGCACUUCUUACCUUCUUACCGCCCGUUCUCCUCGCCCGCGCAUGCCGACUGUAUAUAUAUAUAUAUUGGCUUGUGUGCUGUCCCGGCUUGCCGUCACCCUUUGGUGGCCGUGCGGCGUACUACCUUAUCACGCAUGUUUCUCCGUCUCUCUCUCUCUGAGUUCUCCUUUGCUUUGUUGUAGUUUUAUUUUCUGGAGGCGAUGGCCAUGGUCCAGUCCUCUGUGACGCUGGCAGCAGCAUCCAUCUUCGGUUACGCUGAGCUCCUCCCCACUGUUCUUGGAUUGUCGCUUCCUUCGUCUUCCGCCGCACUCGUGGUGGCCGCCUCUUGUUCUCUUGCGAAGACGACAGCGAUGGGGAGAAAGUCGCCGCGCAUGGUCUCAAGGCAUGUGAGUGAGUGUAGUUGUACAGGAAUGGGGAAUAUUGGUGGUGGUGGUGAUGGGGGUACGGAUGGAUGCCUAGUGGUAAGAAGUGGAGGGGCUCGGGGCUGACAUGGGCUUUCUUUCUUUUUUUUUUUUAUUCUCGCUAUGGUGCUGCUUCUCUUUCUUUUCCCUGCCCGAAAGCUUUCCGUGUUGUCGAUUCUCGUUUUGAAUGCUGAUCAGCCGAAAGAUAGUGCCCACACCCGUCCUGCAGCACAGCCGGUGCGUCCUCUCUUGUCUUCGUCUUCUGUGCAUGUCGUUUUUGUGUCUCUGUUUGCGCUUGUUUUUUCCCCGCUUUUGCACCCUCCCUCUCCAUCUCACGCCUUCCUGGAUCUCUGCUCGAUGUGAUUGUUUCUGUCGAAGAUGCGGCGACACUCUAGCGACGCGCUCCUGUCUCUUCUUAUUGUGGUUGCCUUUGCUCUCUCUCUCUUGCCCCUUCUCAGCGAUGGGUUUGACUGCCUUGUGAUGUUGCGUCGUCACAUGUGCGUAUGGUGCUGCUGGGUGUUGUUGUUCUUGCUUGCUCGCGUGGAUGUCUGUCUCCUGCGCGUCACCCUCGGUGACGUUCUUUCUCGUGUUCAUGUUGUUUAUGCGUCGUGCUUGCCCCUCUGACGCUCCCUGGUAGCGGAAGAGAGAAACGGAGCACCCAUGGACGGCACAGGAAACGAGGAAGCGAC
This 3020-nucleotide unclassified non-coding RNA is filed under the name Leishmania donovani. Its description in RNAcentral is "gene:LdHU3.35.3170(CDS-product:Autophagy-related_ protein_24)". The record is from RNAcentral. Lineage: Eukaryota; Euglenozoa; Kinetoplastea; Trypanosomatida; Trypanosomatidae.